UGUCGCGUAGCUCAACGGUAGAGCACCCUGUUGAUAACGGGGAGGUCGUAGGGUCAGCACCUACCGCGACAA
Molecule: transfer RNA, 72 nt
Filed under: Caudoviricetes sp.
Lineage: Duplodnaviria; Heunggongvirae; Uroviricota; Caudoviricetes
Description: tRNA-Ile
Rfam family: tRNA
About the family: Transfer RNA (tRNA) molecules are approximately 80 nucleotides in length. Their secondary structure includes four short double-helical elements and three loops (D, anti-codon, and T loops). Further hydrogen bonds mediate the characteristic L-shaped molecular structure. tRNAs have two regions of fundamental functional importance: the anti-codon, which is responsible for specific mRNA codon recognition, and the 3' end, to which the tRNAs corresponding amino acid is attached (by aminoacyl-tRNA synthetases). tRNAs cope with the degeneracy of the genetic code in two manners: having more than one tRNA (with a specific anti-codon) for a particular amino acid; and 'wobble' base-pairing, i.e. permitting non-standard base-pairing at the 3rd anti-codon position.
Source: RNAcentral